RNAcentral lists this ribosomal RNA (232 nucleotides) under uncultured bacterium. Its description in RNAcentral is "partial 16S ribosomal RNA". It matches the Rfam family "Bacterial small subunit ribosomal RNA", at positions 103 to 334 of the family's 1533-position model. The record is from RNAcentral.
CGGGUGAGUAACACGUAUCCAACCUGCCGUCUACUCUUGGCCAGCCUUCUGAAGGAAGAUUAAUCCAGGAUGGCAUCAUGAGUUCACAUGUCCGCAUGAUUAAAGGUAUUUUCCGGUAGACGAUGGGGAUGCGUUCCAUUAGAUAGUAGGCGGGGUAACGGCCCACCUAGUCAACGAUGGAUAGGGGUUCUGAGAGGAAGGUCCCCCACAUUGGAGCUGAGACACGGUCCAA